Molecule: transfer RNA, 73 nt
Filed under: Mus musculus (house mouse)
Lineage: Eukaryota; Metazoa; Chordata; Mammalia; Rodentia; Muridae
Rfam family: tRNA
About the family: Transfer RNA (tRNA) molecules are approximately 80 nucleotides in length. Their secondary structure includes four short double-helical elements and three loops (D, anti-codon, and T loops). Further hydrogen bonds mediate the characteristic L-shaped molecular structure. tRNAs have two regions of fundamental functional importance: the anti-codon, which is responsible for specific mRNA codon recognition, and the 3' end, to which the tRNAs corresponding amino acid is attached (by aminoacyl-tRNA synthetases). tRNAs cope with the degeneracy of the genetic code in two manners: having more than one tRNA (with a specific anti-codon) for a particular amino acid; and 'wobble' base-pairing, i.e. permitting non-standard base-pairing at the 3rd anti-codon position.
Source: Rfam by way of RNAcentral
UGGGAUGUGCCUCAGCAGGUAGAGCACUUGCCUACUAUGUGCAAAUCCCUGGGUUCAAUUCCCAGCACCACAA